Molecule: ribosomal RNA, 851 nt
Filed under: uncultured bacterium
Lineage: Bacteria
Description: bacterial SSU rRNA
Rfam family: Bacterial small subunit ribosomal RNA
Source: RNAcentral
CUAUCUGCAGUCGAGCGCAGGAACCAGAUGACCCCUUCGGGGUGAUUCUGGUGGAAUGAGCGGCGGACGGGUGAGUAACACGUGGGCAACCUGCCUGUAAGACUGGGAUAACUUCGGGAAACCGGAGCUAAUACCGGAUAGUAUUUCCUUUCUCCUGAUUGGAAAUGGAAAGACGGUUUCGGCUGUCACUUACAGAUGGGCCCGCGGUGCAUUAGCUAGUUGGUGGGGUAAUGGCCCACCAAGGCGACGAUGCAUAGCCGACCUGAGAGGGUGAUCGGCCACACUGGGACUGAGACACGGCCCAGACUCCUACGGGAGGCAGCAGUAGGGAAUCUUCCGCAAUGGACGAAAGUCUGACGGAGCAACGCCGCGUGAGCGAUGAAGGCCUUCGGGUCGUAAAGCUCUGUUGUUAGGGAAGAACAAGUACGAGAGUAACUGCUCGUACCUUGACGGUACCUAACCAGAAAGCCCCGGCUAACUACGUGCCAGCAGCCGCGGUAAUACGUAGGGGGCAAGCGUUGUCCGGAAUUAUUGGGCGUAAAGGGCUCGUAGGCGGUUUCUUAAGUCUGAUGUGAAAGCCCACAGCUCAACUGUGGAGGGUCAUUGGAAACUGGGGAACUUGAGUGCAGAAGAGGAGAGUGGAAUUCCACGUGUAGCGGUGAAAUGCGUAGAUAUGUGGAGGAACACCAGUGGCGAAGGCGACUCUCUGGUCUGUAACUGACGCUGAGGAGCGAAAGCGUGGGGAGCAAACAGGAUUAGAUACCCUGGUAGUCCACGCCGUAAACGAUGAGUGCUAGGUGUUAGGGGGUUUCCGCCCCUUAGUGCUGAAGUUAACGCAUUAAGCACUCCGC